Molecule: non-coding RNA, 20 nt
Filed under: Rattus norvegicus (Norway rat)
Lineage: Eukaryota; Metazoa; Chordata; Mammalia; Rodentia; Muridae
Source: RNAcentral
CAGAGGUAAGGUGAGUUUGG